CGCGGCCUAUCAGCUUGUUGGUGAGGUAACGGCUCACCAAGGCGAUUACGGGUAGCUGGUCUGAGAGGACGAUCAGCCACACUGGAACUGAGAUACGGUCCAGACUCCUACGGGAGGCAGCAGGAGGGAAUCUUGCGCAAUGGGCGAAAGCCUGACGCAGCGACGCCGCGUGGGGGAUGAAUGCCUUAGGGUUGUAAACCCCUUUCACGAGGGAAGAAACUGACGGUACCUCGAGAAGAAGCCCCGGCCAACUACGUGCCAGCAGCCGCGGUAAUACGUAGGGGGCGAGCGUUGUCCGGAUUUAUUGGGCGUAAAGGGCUCGUAGGCGGCUUGGCAAGUCGGCCGUGAAAACCCAGAGCUCAACUCUGGGACGCCGGUCGAUACUGCCAUGGCUAGGGUCCGGUAGAGGGGAAUGGAAUUCCCGGUGUAGCGGUGAAAUGCGCAGAUAUCGGGAGGAACACCAGUAGCGAAGGCGGUUCCCUGGGCCGGCACCGACGCUGAGGAGCGAAAGCGUGGGGAGCAAACAGGAUUAGAUACCCUGGUAGUCCACGCCGUAAACGCUGGGUACUAGGCGUGGCGUCUUAUCAACGGAUGCCGUGCUCGAAGCUAACGCGUUAAGUACCCCGCCUGGGGAGUACGG
This 640-nucleotide ribosomal RNA is filed under the name uncultured bacterium. RNAcentral describes it as "bacterial SSU rRNA". It matches the Rfam family "Bacterial small subunit ribosomal RNA", at positions 232 to 885 of the family's 1533-position model. The record is from RNAcentral.